Molecule: ribosomal RNA, 208 nt
Filed under: uncultured bacterium
Lineage: Bacteria
Description: partial 16S ribosomal RNA
Rfam family: Bacterial small subunit ribosomal RNA
Source: RNAcentral
CGCGUAGGCGGUUAUGCUAGUCAGGUGUGAAAUCCCCAGGCUUAACUUGGGAACUGCGCUUGAAACUGCAUAGCUUGAGGCCGGGAGAGGAAAGUGGAAUUCCUGGUGUAGCGGUGAAAUGCGUAGAUAUCAGGAGGAACACCGGUGGCGAAGGCGGCUUUCUGGACCGGUUCUGACGCUGAAGCGCGAAAGCGUGGGGAGCAAACGG